RNAcentral lists this ribosomal RNA (630 nucleotides) under Streptomyces sp. SCAUEA6. RNAcentral's name for it is "bacterial SSU rRNA". It matches the Rfam family "Bacterial small subunit ribosomal RNA", at positions 68 to 714 of the family's 1533-position model. The record is from RNAcentral. Lineage: Bacteria; Bacillati; Actinomycetota; Actinomycetes; Kitasatosporales; Streptomycetaceae.
GAUGAACCACUUCGGUGGGGAUUAGUGGCGAACGGGUGAGUAACACGUGGGCAAUCUGCCCUGCACUCUGGGACAAGCCCUGGAAACGGGGUCUAAUACCGGAUAUUGACCUUCACGGGCAUCUGUGAGGUUCGAAAGCUCCGGCGGUGCAGGAUGAGCCCGCGGCCUAUCAGCUUGUUGGUGAGGUAAUGGCUCACCAAGGCGACGACGGGUAGCCGGCCUGAGAGGGCGACCGGCCACACUGGGACUGAGACACGGCCCAGACUCCUACGGGAGGCAGCAGUGGGGAAUAUUGCACAAUGGGCGAAAGCCUGAUGCAGCGACGCCGCGUGAGGGAUGACGGCCUUCGGGUUGUAAACCUCUUUCAGCAGGGAAGAAGCGAAAGUGACGGUACCUGCAGAAGAAGCGCCGGCUAACUACGUGCCAGCAGCCGCGGUAAUACGUAGGGCGCAAGCGUUGUCCGGAAUUAUUGGGCGUAAAGAGCUCGUAGGCGGCUUGUCACGUCGGUUGUGAAAGCCCGGGGCUUAACCCCGGGUCUGCAGUCGAUACGGGCAGGCUAGAGUUCGGUAGGGGAGAUCGGAAUUCCUGGUGUAGCGGUGAAAUGCGCAGAUAUCAGGAGGAACACCGGUG